Molecule: long non-coding RNA, 291 nt
Organism: Mastomys coucha (southern multimammate mouse)
Lineage: Eukaryota; Metazoa; Chordata; Mammalia; Rodentia; Muridae
Exons: 2
Source: RefSeq, a predicted model, not a curated record
CCUGCUUGAGUUCCAGUCCUGACUUCCUCUGGUGAUGAACAGCAACAUGGAAGGUGUUUUUACCUUGUGAGCUGCACUUCUACCCACGUGGGACCCUCCCGUGAUCUUAUUCUGCUCCCUUCCAUCACCUUCAAGAUGCAACUUCAGAAGCUACCCAGACUUCAACAAUGGCAACCGGGAAGACCCUUAACUGUGACUGCAUCUUUCUUUCUUUUAACCCUGGUGCUUAAAAAAAAACAAGCAAGCAAGCAAACAAACAAGAGGUCUUUAAUAAACUCCAACUCUACCUCA